Molecule: long non-coding RNA, 231 nt
Filed under: Lathyrus oleraceus (garden pea)
Lineage: Eukaryota; Viridiplantae; Streptophyta; Magnoliopsida; Fabales; Fabaceae
Description: Pisum sativum (pea) long non-coding RNA (PSAT_LNC015883)
Source: RNAcentral
ACACAUAAAAGGGCGACAAUAGCGAAAAUGGACGAAUUUGGGUGGGGGAGAAUGAAGAGGUGUGGAAGUGGUGUAAGAGGUUGCUUGCUUGGGAGGAGAAUUUAAUGGGAGAUUUUGUUGAGCGGUUAACCUAAGUUGUUUUGUAGGUGGAAGUAGAAGAUCAUUAGUUGUGGACUUUACAUCCCUCUUCUUGCUACAUGGUUAACAUUGCUUAUAAAAAUCUGUAUAAAG